UGCAUCGGCCGGGAAUCGAACCCGGGGCCGCCCGCGUGGCAGGCGAGCAUUCUACCACUAAACCACCGAUGG
This 72-nucleotide transfer RNA is filed under the name Cordylochernes scorpioides. RNAcentral's name for it is "tRNA-Gly". The record is from RNAcentral. Lineage: Eukaryota; Metazoa; Arthropoda; Arachnida; Pseudoscorpiones; Chernetidae.